This is an RNA transcript of Mandrillus leucophaeus (drill), 993 nucleotides long. RefSeq lists it as uncharacterized. The record is from RefSeq and is a predicted model, not a curated record. Lineage: Eukaryota; Metazoa; Chordata; Mammalia; Primates; Cercopithecidae. The transcript is spliced from 5 exons.
CGUGGGUUGCUAGUAGAAGAGCUGUAAUGUUCUCCUACCGCGUGCUGCAGGCCCUGCUGUUGAGUGAGGGGGAGCAGGGGAUCCCAAUGGCCUGCCCUGCCUUUGCGCAGCAGCCAGCGGGCGGGUACGUCGCGGCCUGGCCGAGGGAGGAGAGCGCGGUCCCCAGUCGAGCUGGGUGAACUAUCAUUGCACACUGUAGAGUUUCUGGUGCCUCUUCUUGGAACUCGGCUAGCGGCGCCACAGCCCCUGCUAACUAAUCGCGACAUCACAACUGUGAGUGGGGUUGUGCGAGUGACUGUAAAAUGGGGGAAUUGUAAGACGUUCAUCGCUGUGUUAUCCUUGAGUAAAGGCUGGAGCGCAACACCAGGAUCUCCCUGCAGCAUCCGCCGUCAGGGCUCGAGUGGUCUUUCCACCUCAGCCUCCUGGGACUACAGGCACGUGCUACCACCACGCCUGGCUAACUUUCAGUUUUUUUACAGAAACGGGCUUUUACCUUGUUGUCCAGGCUGGUAUCGACCCCUGGGCUCAAACAGUCCUCCUGCCUCUAUCUCCCAAAGUGCUGGAAUUACAGGGAAUGUGAGCUCUGGAAGCCCAGCCAGGGACAAUGCUCCUUCCCAGAGAUUCUGCACUAACCUGAGUGAAGGCCUAAGGUUUGGAACCUCCCCCUCGUGGAAAGAAGCUUUGUAUGGCUGUCAUGCUUAGACAAUGAUUCCUGCGACUUGACCUUCAGGCUGGGAGAGGUGGAGAGCCAUGCCUGGUCUCCUUCGUUGCUAUGGAAUUUGCUGACACAAAGAAUAUCUUCUGCCUGGUGCUGGGCAUAUCCUAAGAACUGACAACUUUCCUGUAUUACCCUGUGUGAGCAGCUGUCACCUUUUUGGGGGAAGAAUGGCUGAAAAUUAGGGGGCACUUCAAGUAGAGAGCUUCUAUUUCCUGUAUUUGUCUUAUAUACAAGUAUUUGCUUUUAUCAAAAUAAUUCUAAUAAAACAAAGUAAA